CUACGGAGGGGGCUAGCGUUGUUCGGAAUUACUGGGCGUAAAGCGCGUGUAGGCGGAGCGUUAAGUCAGGGGUGAAAGCCCGGGGAUCAACCCCGGAACUGCCCUUGAUACUGGCGAUCUAGAGUCCGGAAGAGGUGGGCGGAAUUCCCGGUGUAGAGGUGAAAUUCGUAGAUAUCGGGAGGAACACCAGUGGCGAAGGCGGCUCACUGGUCCGGUACUGACGCUGAGACGCGAAAGCGUGGGGAGCAAACAGGAUUAGAAACCCUAGUAGUCC
RNAcentral lists this ribosomal RNA (274 nucleotides) under uncultured bacterium. Its description in RNAcentral is "partial 16S ribosomal RNA". It matches the Rfam family "Bacterial small subunit ribosomal RNA", at positions 523 to 796 of the family's 1533-position model. The record is from RNAcentral.